RNAcentral lists this long non-coding RNA (3371 nucleotides) under Mus musculus (house mouse). RNAcentral's name for it is "long non-coding RNA chr19:17028514-17031885". Lineage: Eukaryota; Metazoa; Chordata; Mammalia; Rodentia; Muridae. The record is from RNAcentral.
UUUCACCAAGAUGGCCUGUGCCAGCGAGGGCUCACGGCCCCUUUGAGCUGUAGCUGUUUUCUGUUACUUUGCUCCCAUUUCUCAUCUUUUAAGUAGGUUCUACACAGCUUCCCACUUCCUGUGCCUCUGCCAGCUCCUUCUUAGAAACCUUGUCAGCCCUCUGGGCCACUUCUGCCUGGACACUGCUCUCCUUCCUUCUAGCCACUGCAGAUUUGUCCUUUUAAAAAGCCACAUUCUUUGGAUUCAACAUCAAAAUGCGCAGGCUGCCCCCUUAAAGUGGGUGGGUCAUUCUCUUCUUCCACUUGGGGCCUCCCUUCUUAGUCCAGCAUCACAUUUAGGGAGUGAGCACAUUAUCUGAGGGCAAUGCCAAUGCAUGCAUAAACCUGUAUCUUUGCAUUUUUAGAAAUUUUUACUUCCUAUGUAUGUUUUUGGUCUCUCUGUCCCUCUCUCCCCAUCCCGUGUGUAUUGGUUCAUGUGUGUGCAUGCGCAUAGGUAUGAAAGUCAGAUAGACACAGUCUCUUCAUUAAUUCCUUUCAGUCUCUAACUUGGCAGCGUCUCUUACUUGGCCCCAGAGUUUGAUAAUUUAACUAUCAAAGAUACCCACUUGGCUCUGAGGCUCUCCUGAGCCUCAGGCUCUGGGGCAGGUUAAGUGGCCACACCUCCCACGCGAUUGCCUGUCUACUGAGGUUCUGAAAGUUCGCCCUUCACUUGUACACCAAGUGUUUUCCCCACUGAGCCAUCUUCCCAGCCCCUCACUUUAUCAUUUAUAAACAGAAUUUUAUGUUUCUAGACCCUCGAAAGCAGUCAGCAGGCAAUUCCUCUCUCUAGAAUCCCUUUCUAGGAGGAAGGACACUGUCCCUUUGUUCCUGGAUGAAGUGCAGUCUCACUGCCAGCCUUUAUAAGGAAUGAUUUUCCCGGCCAGGGCCCCAGUUAGCCACUGUCAGUCCUUAAACAGCGGUGGGUAUUUGGGACAGUCAUAGGAGACUUUUGUCAUCCUAACCAUCCCACGAAGACAAAGAGACCAGUAACAACCACGUGACUUAACUCACUCUCCACUUAGCACUGAGGAAAUGAAGAAAUAGCACCACCCUAAAUCCAUUGUGACAACUUGAAGUUUCUCCUUAGUUUAGGAUCUAAUUUUCUUCUACACGUUUCCUCAGAGAAAGGAAUCCCUCAGGCCACGAUUCUGAGCGUGGAUGGCUGCUCUUUUGCUCUGUAAAUACAUUUAAAAAAAAAUGUACUGUAAUGUCAUUUUGAUGGCUUAAUUUCUGAAAGGAUUGGCUAAUUGCCUUUUUAGGAAUGUACUCAGACCAGUUUGAGCUGCCCUGAGUUACUUUUAAUAGCAUCUGUUGCUUACCUUUCCUUUGGUUUAUUUUUCCCUGUCUGUCACCUGCCUUCAGAAUUCUUUUGCUGAUUUGGAGACCUGACCUUGGUUUAAAUUAGUUUGACUAUAAUGUUCCUGCGGAAGCACAUGCCAUGUUUUAAUGGUUAAUUACCGCACCGUAUCAAAUUGUCAUGGAAAAACAGGUUGCGAAACUAAAGGAAAUGUGUUCCUCUUCUUGAGACAGAGAAAUCUCUUUAAAAGACCUCUAAUCCCAGUACUUGGGAGGCCGAAACGGGUGGGUCUCUGAAUUCAAGGUUAGCCUGGUCUAUAGAGUAAAUUCCAGGACAACCAAGGGAUACAUAGAGAAACAAAAACAAAAACAAACAGAAAACAACAACAGGGGAAUGUCUUUAAGCUAGAGGCCCCUCUCUGUGCAAAUAUAGAGCUGGUUCCCUAAGUAACAAGAAUAUAUUUUGGUACAUAAUAAAUACACACACACACACACACACACACACACACACACACACACACAUAUUUGAAUAGCGACAGAGAGAAACAAGAAGGGUCAAACAAAGGCUUUCGGGUGCUGUGCUGAUCCUUAAUUCAAAGACUGCUAACAAAAAAAGGAAAAGUGCUGUCCCAGCCACAUUAAGAACAAACACAGGCCAGUGGUGCCGCCUAGUGGUACCAAAAGGGAAGACAGGUUGUAGGCUGGAAAAGGUCUCAGUUUUCUUCUAUUCUCUUGAGAAGCUAACACCCAUUCUCAGGUGUGUACCCUGUCUCACCCUGUGCUUUAAAACCUUUUAUCACACUUUGCUUUAUAUUUACUUGUGUUCCGUUCAUACAUAUACAUCCCACAUCUAGAAGACAAAUAUAAUAAAAUAAAUCCGACAUGCCAUGAAUGUAACCACAAAUUUAUUGGAUUAGGGGUGCCUUUCAAUUGAUUUUCUCACUGGACUCCCAGACCAGACUUUGAAAUAAAUAAGUCCAUGGUGCCCCUUUUAUAAAGGAGCUCUGAAAGACUCUUGAUGUUAAGCACUGUGGCUGUCUUUUGCCCUGCAAGCUUUUAGCCUCAAGUUCCUUUUUGUGGCACCACCAUGACAUCUGUGUACAGCUUACUCACAAGUUCUCAUGCUGGGCACACUUCAUUUCUCUGGACUUUAAAUUGUUUUCUUUUGAUGCUAAAACUUGAAGUGAAACAGUUAUUUUGUGUCUACCUGUCUGUGGAGCUCAAAGAACUCUUACUUAACCCGCAGUGUAUCCACCUGUGGUUCAUCUCAGCCUACAGCCCAGUAAGUCACCGCUGCAUCCCUGGGGCAGUCGGGUUGAAGAGUAGGGCUGGAAUGCACAAGCAUACUUCAUUCAUACCUUUACUCACUUAUCAACACAUUUGUUCAUGAAACAUGAGUUGAGUAGCUGUGCCCGAAGUAUUGAUCCUGUUAUGCCCUGGUCUCUCUCCUAUUGUGCCUAUAGUCUAUAAGUGAUUGUUCAUUCCCAGUGGUGCCAAUCAUUAAAUACAAAUACCAGAGAAACACAGUCUGAUUUGGGAGAGGAACACACAGUGGGAAAAUGUGCCCAGAUUAAUUUGAAACAAAAACUACGAAAGGCAUAUAGAAGUUGGUAUGUAAAUGAGACUUUUUCUGCAGGGGACAGUGAAAACUAAAGGUCUUCCCAUACUCUAUAGAGAUCAGUGGUUCUCAACUUUCCUGACCCUUUGAUAUAGUUUCUCAUGGUGUGGUAACCCCCAACUGUAAAAUUAUUUUCAUUGCUGCUUCAUAACUACAAUUUGCUACUGUUAUGAAUUGUACUGUAAACAUCUUGAUAUGUCUCAGGCAACCUCUGUGAAAGGGUUGUUUGACCCACAGGACCCACAGGCUGAGAACUGCUGCUGCUGAUUUAGAUGAAGGAGAGCAUGUGUGACAGCUAGACAAAGAGAGCAUGGUAUGUGAUAUGGAGUUAGGAGCCUGGGAGAAAUGACUUUGUCCUCAUGCUUGGAUAUACUUUGGAUUUAAAUCUGAACAGACUGCAGUGUUGAUUCUUAACCUCC